Molecule: unclassified non-coding RNA, 166 nt
Filed under: soil metagenome
Description: partial contains 5.8S ribosomal RNA, internal transcribed spacer 2, and large subunit ribosomal RNA
Source: RNAcentral
AACGCACGAGACCUGCGGACCUGCGGAGGGAUCAUUAGUGAACGCCCUCACGGGCUUAUAACUAUUCCAAACCUCUGUGAACCGUGCCCUUCGGGGCUAUUUUACAAACAUGGUGUAAUGAACGUCAUAUAUCAUAGCAAAACAAAACUUUUAACAACGGAUCUCU